UACAGUGCUAGAGGACAGACCCUUUGUGCAGCUGAGUGCCUUGGAUGCUUACAGAAAGCUUCAAAAAGCACCAGAAUUUAUUCAACUUUUGUACAGAAGACUUCAGCCUCAGACCAGAACACAUUACAUGGUGGAGGAUGUAAUGCUUCCUACAUCUGCAUCAGCUGUGCCAUAAAUCAGACAGGUGGCCUGAGCGGCCUUGAGCAUACUGGGGGAGCUGUCUUCAAUGUCCAGUGUCCUUUUAGAUGGCUGUUCCUUGACCCCCACUUUUGGGCUAGCUGUUUCCCAUGACCGGACAGAAUUGCAUGAAGGACAUGCUACAGUGAUGAUGUAACUGCUGAGGGAGGGCAGACAGAAGGGGAAGGCUUAAUUCU
Molecule: long non-coding RNA, 374 nt
Organism: Corvus hawaiiensis (hawaiian crow)
Lineage: Eukaryota; Metazoa; Chordata; Aves; Passeriformes; Corvidae
Exons: 3
Source: RefSeq, a predicted model, not a curated record